UAGGGAAUAUUGGACAAUGGGCGAAAGCCUGAUCCAGCCAUGCCGCGUGUGUGAAGAAGGUCUUCGGAUUGUAAAGCACUUUAAGUUGGGAGGAAGGGCAGUAAGCGAAUACCUUGCUGUUUUGACGUUACCGACAGAAUAAGCACCGGCUAACUCUGUGCCAGCAGCCGCGGUAAUACAGAGGGUGCAAGCGUUAAUCGGAAUUACUGGGCGUAAAGCGCGCGUAGGUGGUUCGUUAAGUUGAAUGUGAAAGCCCCGGGCUCAACCUGGGAACUGCAUCCAAAACUGGCGAGCUAGAGUAGGGCAGAGGGUGGUGGAAUUUCCUGUGUAGCGGUGAAAUGCGUAGAUAUAGGAAGGAACACCAGUGGCGAAGGCGACCACCUGGGCUCAUACUGACACUGAGGUGCGAAAGCGUGGGGAGCAAACAGG
RNAcentral lists this ribosomal RNA (429 nucleotides) under Pseudomonadota bacterium. RNAcentral's name for it is "Proteobacteria bacterium partial 16S ribosomal RNA". It matches the Rfam family "Bacterial small subunit ribosomal RNA", at positions 355 to 776 of the family's 1533-position model. The record is from RNAcentral. Lineage: Bacteria; Pseudomonadati; Pseudomonadota.